This is a long non-coding RNA of Portunus trituberculatus (swimming crab), 489 nucleotides long. RefSeq lists it as uncharacterized. The record is from RefSeq and is a predicted model, not a curated record. The transcript has 2 exons. Lineage: Eukaryota; Metazoa; Arthropoda; Malacostraca; Decapoda; Portunidae.
GAGAGAGAGAGAGAGAGAGAGAGAGAGAGAGAGAGAGAGAGAGAGAGAGAGAGAGAGAGAGAGAGAGCGAAUGCGUAAUUAAUUGUUUUUUUUAUAAUGGCAUAACUCUUUAAUAUUUAUUACUAUUAUAACAUAUUAGCUAAGUUAUUCCUUUAAUUAAUGACGAUGUUAAGCUUUAUAAUGAUCAAUGGAAAAGGAAAAAAAAGAAAAAAUAUAAACGAAAGCUCAGGGCAAUUCUUAAAGGAACGGCAAGAGAUUUGAAAAUAGAAAUAGAAAUAUAAAUAAAUAAAUAAACUACAAAUAAUGAAUAAUGAAAUAAAGAAAAUAAUAAUGAAGAAAAUGAUGAAAAAGGCAAGAGAAAUAUAUAUUAUCGUUGUCUGUCUAUAUGUAUGUCACUGAAAAUAAAGAAAAUUGUAACAUGGAAAAGAUAUUAUCAAUAGAAAACGUAAAACAAGAUCAAACAUUUAAUAAACUUCGUAACAUAACAAA